Pelobates cultripes (western spadefoot toad) is the source of this 305-nucleotide non-coding RNA. Lineage: Eukaryota; Metazoa; Chordata; Amphibia; Anura; Pelobatidae. The record is from the annotation of a GenBank genome assembly.
CUUAGAGUCUGCAACUGGUAGUGCUGCUAGGCCUUAGUCUGAGUCAUAGUGGUCGGGGCUUCAGGGUGAGGACCGGGAUCACCCCCGCCGGUCCAGAGGGGGGGAACGGAGCCGGAUCCUCGAGGGUUUAAGCCCCAGGCUGGACACUGUUCAGCAGGAUAGCGGGGCGGCGGCCGUCCACUCCACUCACCGCUGGAGUAGGCCUCAACUUCAGCAUUGAAGAUUUCUUCACCAGGGGACUAAUACUCGUCGAGCAAGCCUCACCCUGGGUUCAGUGCACUCUGCCCGUCGAGGGCCGCCGUUGC